GGCUCAGGACGAACGCUGGCGGCGUGCCUAAUACAUGCAAGUCGAACGAACUCUGGUAUUGAUUGGUGCUUGCAUCAUGAUUUACAUUUGAGUGAGUGGCGAACUGGUGAGUAACACGUGGGAAACCUGCCCAGAAGCGGGGGAUAACACCUGGAAACAGAUGCUAAUACCGCAUAACAACUUGGACCGCAUGGUCCGAGUUUGAAAGAUGGCUUCGGCUAUCACUUUUGGAUGGUCCCGCGGCGUAUUAGCUAGAUGGUGGGGUAACGGCUCACCAUGGCAAUGAUACGUAGCCGACCUGAGAGGGUAAUCGGCCACAUUGGGACUGAGACACGGCCCAAACUCCUACGGGAGGCAGCAGUAGGGAAUCUUCCACAAUGGACGAAAGUCUGAUGGAGCAACGCCGCGUGAGUGAAGAAGGGUUUCGGCUCGUAAAACUCUGUUGUUAAAGAAGAACAUAUCUGAGAGUAACUGUUCAGGUAUUGACGGUAUUUAACCAGAAAGCCACGGCUAACUACGUGCCAGCAGCCGCGGUAAUACGUAGGUGGCAAGCGUUGUCCGGAUUUAUUGGGCGUAAAGCGAGCGCAGGCGGUUUUUUAAGUCUGAUGUGAAAGCCUUCGGCUCAACCGAAGAAGUGCAUCGGAAACUGGGAAACUUGAGUGCAGAAGAGGACAGUGGAACUCCAUGUGUAGCGGUGAAAUGCGUAGAUAUAUGGAAGAACACCAGUGGCGAAGGCGGCUGUCUGGUCUGUAACUGACGCUGAGGCUCGAAAGUAUGGGUAGCAAACAGGAUUAGAUACCCUGGUAGUCCAUACCGUAAACGAUGAAUGCUAAGUGUUGGAGGGUUUCCGCCCUUCAGUGCUGCAGCUAACGCAUUAAGCAUUCCGCCUGGGGAGUACGGCCGCAAGGCUGAAACUCAAAGGAAUUGACGGGGGCCCGCACAAGCGGUGGAGCAUGUGGUUUAAUUCGAAGCUACGCGAAGAACCUUACCAGGUCUUGACAUACUAUGCAAAUCUAAGAGAUUAGACGUUCCCUUCGGGGACAUGGAUACAGGUGGUGCAUGGUUGUCGUCAGCUCGUGUCGUGAGAUGUUGGGUUAAGUCCCGCAACGAGCGCAACCCUUAUUAUCAGUUGCCAGCAUUAAGUUGGGCACUCUGGUGAGACUGCCGGUGACAAACCGGAGGAAGGUGGGGAUGACGUCAAAUCAUCAUGCCCCUUAUGACCUGGGCUACACACGUGCUACAAUGGAUGGUACAACGAGUUGCGAACUCGCGAGAGUAAGCUAAUCUCUUAAAGCCAUUCUCAGUUCGGAUUGUAGGCUGCAACUCGCCUACAUGAAGUCGGAAUCGCUAGUAAUCGCGGAUCAGCAUGCCGCGGUGAAUACGUUCCCGGGCCUUGUACACACCGCCCGUCACACCAUGAGAGUUUGUAACACCCAAAGUCGGUGGGGUAACCUUUUAGGAACCAGCCGCCUAAGGUGGGACAGAUGAU
Molecule: ribosomal RNA, 1489 nt
Filed under: uncultured organism
Description: SSU rRNA
Rfam family: Bacterial small subunit ribosomal RNA
Source: RNAcentral